ACAGGUUUGAAUCCGAACCCGUUAUCGCCUGUGUACGGCUGCACGAAGGCAGGAAUCAUUCAUGCUACACGAUGUUAUGUAGUAUCCGAGGCUGCCAAGAAGUCAAAUAUCCGACUCAACGUGCUGUGUCCGGCAUUCGUAGACACGCCCAUGUUUAGACGGUUGGCGGCAGGGGACGCUACUCAGACUAUCGGCGGGGACCAAACAGCCGUGACGGCGUUCAUUGAGCGCAUUGGAGUACUCAGCACAGAAGAGGUGUCGGUGGCACUAAUUGACAUUCUCACGGAUGAAACGAGAAAUGGGUUGAUUUUGCGUUGCGCGAAAAAGACUGGAAACGUUUACAGCACGCUUACCGUACAAGACGUGUAACAUUAUUUCAUGCGGAGGAACUUGAUAAGAAGGCGAAAAGGUUGAGAAGAAUCCACAUUUCUAUAGUAUUACUUUCAAUAUCUCUUUAAUUGAGCUUAAAGACACACACUAUGUGCCAACCGACAGGGCUGAAAAAACUACGAGUGUUAGUGUUAAAUAUAUGAUACAUUGUAUGUAAUCUUCUACCAUUAUUUGUGCGUUAACAGAGUUCAGGAAUUCAUAUUGUACAGAGAGAACAUAUCGUUUUAGAAAAAUCUACCAGUAUGUGCAAGAAAAAUGUAUUGAACAAAAAAACUACAAUUGUGAGUCGCGCUUUUAUUUUUCAGUGUGUUCAAUUCAUAUGUCAGCAGAAAGUCAUACUUUAUAUACCCAUUUGAUUUGUACAUUAAUGUUUAAGUUCUCUCAUUUUAAACUGUUCAGUUAAUUACCAUUAGUAAUUAGUAAUUGUUUUGGAAUUGAUUAAUAAUUGUAUGUGAAUAUUUAAGUCUUACACAUUUGUUAAAAGUAGCAAUUUCAAAAACGCACACUCCUAUAGAAAUGACUGUUUUAAAGAAAGAAAUAGUUGCAUUUAGGAUUUCUUAAUUUGGAAAAGAUUAACUCAUGUUCAUUGUUUAACAUACCAACAAAACUAAUACAAGUAAUGAACCAAAGACAUUUUAAAUGUUUUGUCUUCUUCACGCAGCCGAGGCGAACGUCGUUAUGUCUUAACUUUUAAAGGGAUUUGUUCAAAUAUUUUGGCAUUUUUUGUGUAGUUUAUCAUUAAUUUUUAUAAGUUGAUAAAUGUAAACAUCAGAAUUAAUGAGCCCCACCAUAGAACACAAAUAUAAUUUAAGAACAAACAGA
Molecule: long non-coding RNA, 1212 nt
Organism: Dreissena polymorpha
Lineage: Eukaryota; Metazoa; Mollusca; Bivalvia; Myida; Dreissenidae
Exons: 3
Source: RefSeq, a predicted model, not a curated record